This 553-nucleotide ribosomal RNA is filed under the name uncultured bacterium. Its description in RNAcentral is "bacterial SSU rRNA". It matches the Rfam family "Bacterial small subunit ribosomal RNA", at positions 777 to 1333 of the family's 1533-position model. The record is from RNAcentral.
AAUAGAUACCCCGGUAGUCCACGCCGUAAACGAUGAGUGCUAAGUGUUGGGGGGUUUCCGCCCCUCAGUGCUGCAGCUAACGCAUUAAGCACUCCGCCUGGGGAGUACGGUCGCAAGACUGAAACUCAAAGGAAUUGACGGGGGCCCGCACAAGCGGUGGAGCAUGUGGUUUAAUUCGAAGCAACGCGAAGAACCUUACCAGGUCUUGACAUCCCGGUGACCACUAUGGAGACAUAGUUUCCCCUUCGGGGGCAACGGUGACAGGUGGUGCAUGGUUGUCGUCAGCUCGUGUCGUGAGAUGUUGGGUUAAGUCCCGCAACGAGCGCAACCCUUAUUCUUAGUUGCCAUCAUUUAGUUGGGCACUCUAAGGAGACUGCCGGUGAUAAACCGGAGGAAGGUGGGGAUGACGUCAAAUCAUCAUGCCCCUUAUGACCUGGGCUACACACGUGCUACAAUGGACGGUACAAACGGUUGUCAACCCGCGAGGGGAGCUAAUCCGAUAAAACCGUUCUCAGUUCGGAUUGUAGGCUGCAACUCGCCUACAUGAAGGACC